CCUUUCAAAGUAGGAGCAGGCGCGCAAUUACCCAAUCCUGACUCAGGGAGGUAGUGACAAGAAAUAACAAUAAACCGGCUUAUGCCGGUUUAAUUGGAAUGAGUACAAUUUAAACAUCUUAACGAGGAACAAUUGGAGGGCAAGUCUGGUGCCAGCAGCCGCGGUAAUUCCAGCUCCAAUAGCGUAUACUAAAGUUGUUGCAGUUAAAAAGCUCGUAGUUGGAUUUCUGUGGGGACGGAGCGGCCGGCCGCACAUCGCGGUUCGAGCUAGCGCUUUCCCUACAUCCUGCCGCGAACCGUGCUACCAUUAAUUUGGUGGCGCCGGGGAUCGGCUCGAUUACUUUGAGAAAAAUAGAGUGUUCAAAGCAGGCCACAUGCCUUGAAUAAGUUAGCAUGGAAUAAUAACUAAGGACUUCGGUUCUAUUUUGUUGGCGUUCGGGACUGAAGUAAUGAUUGAUAGGGACAGUUGGGGCGGUCUGUAUUCCAAAGCGAGAGGUGAAAUUCUUAGACCUUCGGAAGACAAACAGCUGCGAAAGCGUUCCGCAAGGAUGUUCCCUUUGAUCAAGAACGAAAGUUGGGGGAUCGAAGACGAUCAGAUACCGUCGUAGUCUCAACUAUAAACUAUACCAGCUAGGGAUCGGCCAACGUUAUUUUAUACCGACUUGGUCGGCACCUUAUGAGAAAUCAAAGCAUCUGGGUUCCGGGGGGAGUAUGGUCGCAAGGCUGAAACUUAAAGGAAUUGACGGAAGGGCACCACCAGCCGUGGAGCCUGUGGCUUAAUUUGACUCAACACGGGAAAACUUACCAGGUCCAGACAUAGUAAGGAUUGACAGAUUGAUAGCUCUUUCUUGAUUCUGUGGGUGGUGGUGCAUGGCCGUUCUUAGUUGGUGGAGUGAUUUGUCUGGUUAAUUCCGUUAACGAACGAGACCCCAGCCUGCUAAAUAGCGCGCGUGAGCUUUGCUCGCGGCGAGCUUCUUAGAGGGACUAUGAUGCGCGAUAGCACAUGGAAGUUUGGGGCAAUAACAGGUCUGUGAUGCCCUUAGAUGUUCUGGGCCGCACACGGGCUACACUGGCGCCUGCAACGAGCAUAUCAGCUGGCCCGAGAGGGUCUUGGCUAAUCUUUUGAACCGGCGCCGUGCUUGGGAUUGACCUUUGCAAUUGUUGGCCAUGCAACGAGGAAUGCCUUGUAAACGCGAGUCAUCAGCUCGCAUUGAAUACGUCCCUGCCCUUUGUACACACCGCCCGUCGCUCCUACCGAUGAAUGUUCCGAUGAAAUUUUCGGAGAGCACCUGUGAACUUGGCUCUGCCUUGCGAACGGGAGGCUCAAAGUCACUUAAUUCUAAACUUU
This 1347-nucleotide ribosomal RNA is filed under the name uncultured marine eukaryote. RNAcentral describes it as "SSU rRNA". It matches the Rfam family "Eukaryotic small subunit ribosomal RNA", at positions 411 to 1773 of the family's 1831-position model. The record is from RNAcentral.